CGUGCCAGCAGCCGCGGUAAGACGAACCGUCCAAACGUUAUUCGGAAUUACUGGGCUUAAAGGGUGCGUAGGCGGUGCUGUAAGUUGGGUGUGAAAUCCCUCGGCUCAACCGAGGAAUUGCGCCCAAUACUGCAGUACUAGAGGGAGACAGAGGUGAGCGGAACUUGUGGUGGAGCGGUGAAAUGCGUUGAUAUCACAAGGAACACCUGUGGCGAAAGCGGCUCACUGGGUCUUUUCUGACGCUGAGGCACGAAAGCUGGGGGAGCGAACGGGAUUAGAUACCCCGGUAGUCCCAGCUGUAAACGUUGAGCACUAGACCGGAGGACCCCCCAUAGUUUUCCGGUCGUAGCGAAAGUGUUAAGUGCUCCGUCUGGGGAGUAUAGUCGCAAGGCUGAAACUCAAAGGAAUUGACGGGGGCUCACACAAGCGGUGGAGGAUGUGGCUUAAUUCGAGGCUACGCGUAGAACCUUAUCCUAGAUUUGGCAUGCACGGAUGGGCCGCCUGAAAGGGAUGGUUCCUGCCUUCGGGUGAAACGUGCACAGGUGCUGCAUGGCUGUCGUCAGCUCGUGUCGUGAGAUGUCGGGUUAAGUCCCUUAACGAGCGAAACCCUUGUCACUAGUUGCCAGCGAGUCAUGUCGGGGACUCUAGUGAGACUGCCGGUGUUAAACCGGAGGAAGGUGGGGAUGACGUCAAGUCCUCAUGGCCUUUAUGUCUAGGGCUGCACACGUCCUACAAUGGCGCAUACAAAGGGAAGCGAACCUGCGAGGGCAAGCAAAUCCCAAAAAGUGCGCCUCAGUUCGGAUUGCAGGCUGCAACUCGCCUGCAUGAAGCCGGAAUCGCU
Molecule: ribosomal RNA, 841 nt
Filed under: uncultured organism
Description: bacterial SSU rRNA
Rfam family: Bacterial small subunit ribosomal RNA
Source: RNAcentral